CACAGAAAGCCCAAGCUCUUGCACAAGGAUCAGAAGGGGGUAUAACCAGAAUUUGUUUCUCAGCAUCCUGACCAACAAUUAUUUUACCUACUAAACAGGGAAGCCUUUCAAAUAUAAUCCAGGGUAUCCGCUUCAUUUUACAACUAAAGAAAUGAAGGCUGGUUUCUGCUGGUCUAGACAUCUGGGUUCCAAAAGAAGAAUGCAUCUCCCAGGAGACAUGACAAUGAUUCCAUUCAACAGGAAGUUGAGACUGCCACCUGAACACUUUGGGCUCCUCAUGCCUCUGAAUCAACGGGCAAAGAAGAGAGUUAUAGAUCCUAACCACCCAGGAGAAAUUCGGUGGCCACUACACAAACAGACUUUUCUGACUCUGCGGCCAGGUGUUUGUAUUUAACUCCACGGUGAGGAGACUCAUCUUCUGACGGACCUAACCUAUACCAUCAAGCUCCAGCACCACAAGCAAAGACAAAAACCUUGCGGAAACUAUUUAACUAACUCCCACAAUUGCAUAAGAAGAGUCAUGAUCCUAAGAACAGAAGGGAGAUCCCUGUUGCUUUGACUUCUUGCUGUCCUCCUGCUAUUUGGCUCAAAAUGCAAACUCAGUUAUGAGAAGUACAUAGAAGAACAGGUAAACUAAAGCCUGGGCUUUUUCACCAGAGGAUGUGGAAAAGAGGCUUCAGGAAAUUGAGAAGUAUUAUGGAGAUUGCAAAAAUGAGGGAGCUGAAGAAAGAGUUAGAAUGACAGUGAAUGUGAGAAGAGAGAGAGAUGAAUACCACGAAGUUGCGUAUGUACUGCUGGACUAUACCCUGAACUGAGCAUGUAAACAUCUGACCACAGAUGGUAUAAUAAGGCUUUGAAAACUAAGCUACAAUAAAGACCAUCACCCAGGCCAAAAAUUGCUACUUGGAAAUGCACACACAGACUGAUCCAAAUAGCAUUGAAAACACUUAAAGAAAUGGU
This 960-nucleotide long non-coding RNA is filed under the name Homo sapiens (human). RNAcentral's name for it is "non-protein coding LINC01938:10". Lineage: Eukaryota; Metazoa; Chordata; Mammalia; Primates; Hominidae. The record is from RNAcentral.